UUGAUAGCGUUUCGAAAACUUACAAGGUAGAGGUACUUACAAGAGAGAUAUCAAUUGGAUCUUCUAUUAAACUUUACUGAGUCAUGUUAAGCCGUCAUAAUUAUGCAAGAUAAAGUCUAUUCACGAUGUGCAUAUCUACGCGUAUCCAUACAAAUGGAAAAAUAUUAAUACGUUUGUUGCAUCUUGUAAGACCACAUCUCAAAACGUCAACUUUUACGGAAUCAACGCACGUAUCUCCCCAUUCGAGAAGACAUGUGGACCAAGGUAGCUGAGAUUGAAAGCUACCGAUCAAAUAAUAUAAGGUCAUUGAUAUCAAAGAACAAUAAGUUGGUAUUAAUGACAAUAGAAUGAUACCUGCGGACCAUAUUUUAACGGAUGAUCUGCUGGUGAAUUGGCCUAAUAUCAUUUCCAAAUAAUAAAAGGGCUUCCCAACGACGAAAAGGACGAUUAUGUAAGGUAUCAAAAAAACACCUCCGCCAUUUUCAUAUGCCGUGAAUGGAAAUCUCCAAACAUUGCCGAGACCAAUCGACAUGGCGAUACAGGACAUGAGAAAUUCGAUACUGUUGCCCCAUGUAGCUCUUUCAACACCUUUUUCUAUUAUUGUCUUUCAACAUCAUUAUUUUUAUUAUAAAAUGUCUUAACAAUUUUCGAUAAUAAGAAAUUACUGCUUAAUUAUUAUAAAAAAAGAAAAUGAAUUUUAAAAAAGAUAUAAAAUGAUUCAACUUUACCAGUUCUUCCAUUACUGGUUGAGUAACUUUUCUGUUAUCUUCGACGCCAUAAUUGAAAUUAAAAUUGUCGUCGUUCUAAAAAAAAUA
Molecule: long non-coding RNA, 815 nt
Organism: Vespula pensylvanica (western yellowjacket)
Lineage: Eukaryota; Metazoa; Arthropoda; Insecta; Hymenoptera; Vespidae
Exons: 3
Source: RefSeq, a predicted model, not a curated record